This 253-nucleotide ribosomal RNA is filed under the name uncultured bacterium. Its description in RNAcentral is "partial 16S ribosomal RNA". It matches the Rfam family "Bacterial small subunit ribosomal RNA", at positions 524 to 776 of the family's 1533-position model. The record is from RNAcentral.
UACGUAGGGUGCGAGCGUUGUCCGGAAUUAUUGGGCGUAAAGAGCUCGUAGGCGGUUCGUCGCGUCGAAUGUGAAAACCCGGGGCUCAACUCCGGGCCUGCAUUCGAUACGGGCGGACUAGAGUUCGGUAGGGGAGACUGGAAUUCCUGGUGUAGCGGUGAAAUGCGCAGAUAUCAGGAGGAACACCGGUGGCGAAGGCGGGUCUCUGGGCCGAUACUGACGCUGAGGAGCGAAAGCGUGGGGAGUGAACAGG